This is a long non-coding RNA of Stegostoma tigrinum, 593 nucleotides long. RefSeq lists it as uncharacterized. The record is from RefSeq and is a predicted model, not a curated record. The transcript has 3 exons. Lineage: Eukaryota; Metazoa; Chordata; Chondrichthyes; Orectolobiformes; Stegostomatidae.
AAAAAGAGAAUUUCACACUGAUGUUUUGGAGUUACCGAAGAAGAGGAAUGUACAGGGAAUUGGAUGUGGGCAUAGGUUUGGUGGCUAGGCCAGUAUUUAUUGCUCAGCAUUAUUUGCCCUGAGGUGGUCAGCCAACUUCUUGAACAGCUGCAGUCCAUAUGUAGCGAGAUAGACCCAGGCUGCUAUCAAGAAGGGAGAUCCAAGAUACUAAUUGAACAAAAGUAAAAGAAUAAGAGAAUAUACUGCCAAAUCAGGAUUGUGUCAAGCUUGGAGAUGAACUUGAAGGUUUCCCCGUAGAUCCUCUGGGCUUCAUCCUUCAAGGUGGGACGCAACAUGGCUUGGAAAGUGAUGUCAAAGAACACUUGAGAACUGGAAGACUUCCAAUGUAACACCUCGGUUGAAAAACCUCAUCACGACAAGGGUGGUGGAUACAGAUGCAAUAACAAAACUUCCAGAGUGGAACUGGAUAAGUACUUGGAAGAGGAAAAGACAGGGAUAUGGGAUUAGCUGAACACCUCCUUUAAAACACUGGCCCAGGGACUGCACUUAUCACGCUAUGUGUAUCUAAUAUGACCUUCCAACACUCCACGUUG